CUAUCUCACACAUACAUGAAACUCAACCCGUAGGAUGAAUCUACGUUGUUCUAGUGGAUGUUGAGGAAAAUGUAGUUUGGUCAAUUCUAUCAGAAUGUCACUCACAGUGAAGAAAAUACAAAGAUGCCCUGCAUAAAAAAUGGAUUGCUAAGUAACUAGAAAGCUGAACAAGGAAGAUGAAAUGGAACCAGGGAACUAUGUACACUCACGGCAAAAGGAGCGGUCAUAUGAGAGGCUUUAAUAGAAGAGAGCUCACAGCAGACAGCAAAGAC
Mauremys mutica (yellowpond turtle) is the source of this 272-nucleotide long non-coding RNA. RefSeq lists it as uncharacterized. NCBI's taxonomy places the organism in Eukaryota, Metazoa, Chordata, Testudines, Geoemydidae. The record is from RefSeq and is a predicted model, not a curated record. The transcript is spliced from 3 exons.